UAACCAAACUUAUGUUUUCUCUCCUUCUAAAUAGAAUGAUAUGCAGUUCUCCUACAUAUUCUCCAAAAAAAGAAGUUGAUUUGUAAGAUGUCCAAAUUAAAGCCUUGCUGAAUGCUGAUCGCCUGAUCCAUUACAACAUAUGAGCAAAGCAAUCUGGCGGUUGCUGAAUGCAGAUCGAUGGCAAGUGCAUGCAAGGCUUGCGGAGCUAAUUACACAGAAGAGCUAACAUUCUAUAUAAACAAAGUAUGGAUGGCCUGCAGAAGAAGGAUCCCUCCUCCCAGCUACAAGCGGUGGCCGCCGGAGGAGCCAGCAAGCCCGUCGUCGAAGUUCUGGGAGUAGCUGUGCAGGUCAUACCCGAACGACCUCGCCGGGGCCCGCCUCGGCCGCGCCGCGCUCCUCCUCCUCAAGCCGGACCGCAGCCUCCUCAAGAGCCGGCUCACCGGCGCCGCCGGCGACUGCCGCGCCGCACCGCUGCUACCGCGGCUCACCCUCGUCCGGCCGCUACCAACGCCGCCGUACAGGCUCAUCAGAGACGCCAUCGUCCUCUCUCGACCACCCUCGCGCGCGCCUUCACGACUGCAGGUGCUGUUCUAGCCUUCUAGGCUUCUAGCUAGGUAGCUUCUUGUCUUUCGAGGAGCGAAGAUUGAAAGCCAGAUGAAGAGACACA
This 667-nucleotide long non-coding RNA is filed under the name Panicum hallii. RNAcentral describes it as "long non-coding RNA (PHAL_LNC000873)". The record is from RNAcentral. Lineage: Eukaryota; Viridiplantae; Streptophyta; Magnoliopsida; Poales; Poaceae.